RNAcentral lists this ribosomal RNA (465 nucleotides) under uncultured bacterium. RNAcentral's name for it is "partial 16S ribosomal RNA". It matches the Rfam family "Bacterial small subunit ribosomal RNA", at positions 28 to 507 of the family's 1533-position model. The record is from RNAcentral.
GACGAACGAUGGAGGGGGGAGGAACACAUGCAAGUCGAACGGAAAGGCACUGAUAGCAGGGUCCUAGAGUGGGGAAGGGGCGAGUAACACGGGGGUGAUCUGGAAUGCACUUCGGGAUGAGCCUGGGAAACUGGGUACAAUACCGGAUAGGAGAUAUGAUUAGUGUGAUGGUGGGAAAGUUUUUUCGGUGUUGGACGAGUUCGCGGCCUAACAGCUUGUUGGUGGGGUAAUGGCCUACAAGGGCGGCGACGGGUAGCCGGCCUGUGAGGGUGGACGGCCGCAUUGGGUCUGAGGGGCGGCACAGACUGCUACGGUAGGCAGCAGUGGGGAAUAUUGCACAAUGGGCGCAAGCCUGAUGCAGCAACGCCGCGUGUGGUAUAACGGCCUUCUGGUUGUAGACACCUUUCACUAGGGACGAAGCUUUUUGUGACGGUACCUAAAUAAGAAGCACCGGCUAACUACGUG